This 440-nucleotide ribosomal RNA is filed under the name uncultured bacterium. RNAcentral describes it as "partial 16S ribosomal RNA". It matches the Rfam family "Bacterial small subunit ribosomal RNA", at positions 338 to 795 of the family's 1533-position model. The record is from RNAcentral.
CCUACGGGAGGCAGCAGUGGGGAAUAUUGCACAAUGGGGGAAACCCUGAUGCAGCGACGCCGCGUGAGUGAAGAAGUAAUUCGUUAUGUAAAGCUCUAUCAGGAGGGAAGAAAAUGACGGUACCUGACUAAGAAGCCCCGGCUAACUACGUGCCAGCAGCCGCGGUAAUACGUAGGGGGCAAGCGUUAUCCGGAUUUACUGGGUGUAAAGGGGGCGUCGGCGGCAGUGCAAGUCUGGAGUGAAAGGCGGGGGCUCAACCACCGGACUGCUCUGGAAACUGUACGGCUGGAGUGCAGGAGAGGUAAGUGGAAUUCCUAGUGUAGCGGUGGAAUGCGUAGAUAUUAGGAGGAACACCAGUGGCGAAGGCGGCUUACUGGACUGUAACUGACGUUGAGGCUCGAAAGCGUGGGGAGCAAACAGGAUUAGAUACCCGUGUAGUC